RNAcentral lists this ribosomal RNA (216 nucleotides) under Glomeromycotina sp. RNAcentral describes it as "partial small subunit ribosomal RNA". The stretch from base 40 to 216 matches the Rfam family "Eukaryotic small subunit ribosomal RNA", at positions 686 to 864 of the family's 1831-position model. The record is from RNAcentral. Lineage: Eukaryota; Fungi; Glomeromycota.
GGGUCAGUAGGUUGGUCGUGCCACCGGUACGUACUGGUCUCACUGAUUCCUCCUUCCUGAAGAACCGUAAUGCCAUUAAUUUGGUGUCGCGGGGAAACAGGACUGUUACUUUGAAAAAAUUAGAGUGUUUAAAGCAAGCUAACGCUUGAAUACAUUAGCAUGGGAUAAUGAAAUAGGACGAUCGAUCCUAUUUUGUUGGUUUCUAGGAUUGACGUA